RNAcentral lists this ribosomal RNA (140 nucleotides) under uncultured eukaryote. RNAcentral's name for it is "partial 18S ribosomal RNA". It matches the Rfam family "Eukaryotic small subunit ribosomal RNA", at positions 1299 to 1458 of the family's 1831-position model. The record is from RNAcentral.
UGGUGGAGUGAUUUGUCUGGUUUAUUCCGUUAACGAACGAGACCUCGAUCUGCUAGUUACGUCGGCAUCAUUUUCGGAUGGUCGUCGGCUUCCUAGAGAGACUGCGUGUGUGGAGCACGAGGAAGUUCGAGGCGAUAACA